AUUGCCCUAGUAACGGCGAGUGAAGCGGCAACAGCUCAAAUUUGAAAUCUGGCCUUCGGGUCCGAAUUGUAAUUUGUAGAGGAUGCUUUGGGUGCGGUACCUUCCGAGUUCCUGGAACGGGACGCCGGAGAGGUGAGAGCCCCGUACGGUUGGAUACCAAGCCUAUGUAUAGCUCCUUCGACGAGUCGAGUAGUUUGGGAAUGCUGCUCUAAAUGGGAGGUAAAUUUCUUCUAAAGCUAAAUACCGGCCAGAGACCGAUAGCGCACAAGUAGAGUGAUCGAAAGAUGAAAAGCACUUUGAAAAGAGGGUUAAAUAGCACGUGAAAUUGUUGAAAGGGAAGCGUUUGCGACCAGACCUUUUCAGGCGGAUCAUCCGGUGUUCUCACCGGUGCACUUCGCCUGGUUUAGGCCAGCAUCGGUUUUCUUAGGGGAUAAAGGUUUAGGGCACGUAGCUCCUUCGGGAGUGUUAUAGCCCUCUACGUAAUACCCUUCGGGGACCGAGGACCGCGCAUUGCAAGGAUGCUGGCGUAAUGGUCGUCAACGACCCGUCUUGAAACACGGACCAAGGAGUCGAACAUUUGUGCGAGUGUUUGGGUGUUAAACCCCACGCGUAAUGAAAGUGAACGGAGGUGAGAGCCCUUCGGGGUGCAUCAUCGACCGAUCCUGAUGUCUUCGGAUGGAUUUGAGUAAGAGCAUAACUGUUCGGACCCGAAAGAUGGUGAACUAUGCGUGGAUAGGGUGAAGCCAGAGGAAACUCUGGUGGAGGCUCGCAGCGGUUCUGACGUGCAAAUCGAUCGUCAAAUCUGCGCAUGGGGGCGAAAGACUUAUCGAACCAUCUAGUAGCUGGUUACCGCCGAAGUUUCCCUCAGGAUAGCAGUGUUGUCUUCAGUUUUAUGAGGUAAAGCGAAUGAUUAGGGACUCGGGGCGCUAUAUUGCCUUCAUCCAUUCUCAAACUUUAAAUAUGUAAGAAGCCCUUGUUACUUAGUUGAACGUGGGCAUUCAGAAUGUACCAACACUAGUGGGCCAUUUUUGGUAAGCAGAACUGGCGAUGCGGGAUGAACCGAACGUGGGGUUAAGGUGCCAGAGUGGACGCUCAUCAGACACCACAAAAGGUGUUAGUACAUCUUGACAGCAGGACGGUGGCCAUGGAAGUCGGAAUCCGCUAAGGACUGUGUAACAACUCACCUGCCGAAUGUACUAGCCCUGAAAAUGGAUGGCGCUCAAGCGUCUCACCCAUACCUCACCCUUAGGGUAGAAACGAUGCCCUAAGGAGUAGGCGGCCGUGGAGGUUAGUGACGAAGCCU
This 1303-nucleotide ribosomal RNA is filed under the name Hypomontagnella monticulosa. Its description in RNAcentral is "partial large subunit ribosomal RNA". It matches the Rfam family "Eukaryotic large subunit ribosomal RNA", at positions 74 to 1411 of the family's 3401-position model. Lineage: Eukaryota; Fungi; Ascomycota; Sordariomycetes; Xylariales; Hypoxylaceae. The record is from RNAcentral.